Molecule: long non-coding RNA, 1502 nt
Organism: Mirounga angustirostris (Northern elephant seal)
Lineage: Eukaryota; Metazoa; Chordata; Mammalia; Carnivora; Phocidae
Exons: 3
Source: RefSeq, a predicted model, not a curated record
CAGGGCGGGCAGCGGAGACGUCACGUCCGAGUGCAAGGGACUUCGGUCCUGGGCGCCGGAGGGAGUGGCCCGAGGGCUACCCUCCGCCGGGCUGGGCCGGCGGCGCCCGUCUCGGUCCUGUCUCGACCUCGAGAAGUCGUCUCGACCUGGCUGGGCCGUGCUGGACGGGAAGGGAUGGUGAUGCUGGAGGAAGCAGGAGAGGGCGGCGGGGGCUGCGCUAGGAGGGUCCGCUUGUAACAGAAACCUGUGUACCUGAAGACAGUGGAAAACAAACAGAUGAGGCAACUUCAUGUAUCAAAUAUGAAGGAAAAGCUGCAUAAAACCCAUAAUUCAUGCCAGCCAGCCCUAAGCCCUUACUUAUGAAGAACUGAGAGAAUAAUAAUCCAAACAUUGAACAUUCUCAAUGAUAAAAAUAACGCAGAUAUUCACUGAAGAAAUAUCAUGUAAGUUAUGUAACCUGUUUAAAUUAUCUCGAAUUUUAAAAAAUAAUACUAUUAGCAUUAUAGUAAAGAUUCCUAUUGGUUCCCCCCCCCCAAAAAGACAACAACAAAACCAAAAAACUAUAUUUACACCAACACAAGAUGCAUGCAUAUUUAAAGAAGUAGAUACAUGCAAUUUUUAGCAACAUGCAGCCUAUUUAAGGGAUUUUCAUACCUUAAUCUUUGGUUCAUCCUUUAAUUUGUCCCUUUCUGGAACUCUGUCUAUCUUCUUUAGCUUUUCUAUAUCUUUCCUUUUUCGUUUUUCUUCUUCUUUCCAUUUUCUCCUCUCUUCUUCUCUUUGUCUUUUCCUUUCUAUUUCUCGCCUCCUUCUUUCUUCUCUUUUUUCUUCUCUCAUUCUCUGGAAAGAAACAUCAACAUAAGCCUUCAAACAAGAUAAUCAUCACCAAAAACUUAAUCCCAAAGGUAUGGUGGGAACCCACUAAAUUGGAUCGGCUUUCCUUCCUACUUUCUACAAAAGUGGCAUCCUAUCUCUUUAACCCCCUCCCCAUCCCAUUAUGAAUAUGAGAAUAAAGACCAGGGCCUGCUAGUAUCAGAGUCUCCCACUGUUGCCUUGCUAUAUUUCCAGAGGCUUUCAGAAAAUCAAGGGAGUGUCUCUGGAACAAGCUAAAGACUCUCUGGGUUUGCAGAGUGAAUCCUUGGUCCAACAACCAGACUGAAGGAGAGGGCCAGAGAGUAAGGAAUGUGAGCUGCUUGUUACUAGAAAAUACCAGUUGAUCUUCAAAGGCUUACCAACAUCUAAAGGUCCCAUGAGUCUUUAGACUUUUUCUACUUAUAUUUAUGUGGCAUUAAAACAGGUCACAGAGAAUUUUUCCCAUCUUAUCAAUGCAUUUACAUAAGCCUGUGAGGGCGGUACUAUAUGCAUUUUACAGCAAAAGAAACAGAGUCUCAGAGAAGUAAAUGCCUUCCCCAUGGUCACACAGCUAGCAAGUGCCAGAAGUGGGAGUCAGACAAGUCUUCUGAGGAAAAAGCCAUUGUCCUUAAUUCCUGUUGCCCACUUACCUA